AUGGCACCAAAAGCAAAGAAGGAAGCCCUGGCCCUUCUCAAAGCUGAAGCCAAAGUGAAUGCCUCAAAAGCUAAGAAGGCAGUGCUGAAAGUCAUCCACAGCCACAAAAAGAAGAUAUGAAUGUCACCUGCCUCCAGGCAGCCCAAGUCUCUGUGGCUCCAGAGACAGCCAAAAUAUCCUUAAAAUUGUGUGCCCAGGAGAAACAAGCUUGUCCACUAUGCUGUCAUCAAACUCACACUGACCACCGAGUCAACCAUGAAGAAAAUAAAGAAUAACAACAUGCUUGUGUUCAUUGUGGAUGUCAAGGCCAACAAGCACCAGAUCAAAGAGUCCGUGAAAAAACUCUAUGACAUUGAUGUGGCCAAAGUCCAUACCCUGACAAGGCCUGACAGAGAGAAAAAGGUGUAUGUUUUCUUAGCUCCUGAUUAGGAUGCUCUAGAUGUUGCCAAGAUGAUUGUGGUCAUCUAA
Molecule: long non-coding RNA, 468 nt
Filed under: Mus musculus (house mouse)
Lineage: Eukaryota; Metazoa; Chordata; Mammalia; Rodentia; Muridae
Description: long non-coding RNA chr7:33697269-33697737
Source: RNAcentral